RNAcentral lists this ribosomal RNA (403 nucleotides) under uncultured bacterium. RNAcentral describes it as "partial 16S ribosomal RNA". It matches the Rfam family "Bacterial small subunit ribosomal RNA", at positions 30 to 526 of the family's 1533-position model. The record is from RNAcentral.
AUUGAACGCUGGCGGCAGGCCUAACACAUGCAAGUCGAGCGAGCGGCGGACGGGUGAGUAAUGUAUGGGGACUGCCCGAUAGAGGGGGAUAACUCCUGGAAACGGUGGCUAAUACCGCAUACUGUAGGAUAACCCAUAUGGGAUUAGCUAGUAGGUCAGGUAAUGGCGUACCUAGGCGACGAUCCCUAGCUGGUCUGAGAGGAUGAUCAGCCACACUGGGACUGAGACACGGCCCAGACUCCUACGGAGGCAGCAGUGGGGAAUAUUGCACAAUGGGCGCAAGCCUGAUGCAGCCAUGCCGCGUGUAUGAAGAAGGCCCUAGGGUUGUAAAGUACUUUCAGUCGGGAGGCGUUACCGACAGAAGAAGCACCGGCUAACUCCGUGCCAGCCGCCGCGGUAAUAC